This 587-nucleotide ribosomal RNA is filed under the name uncultured metazoan. RNAcentral describes it as "SSU rRNA". It matches the Rfam family "Eukaryotic small subunit ribosomal RNA", at positions 4 to 565 of the family's 1831-position model. The record is from RNAcentral. Lineage: Eukaryota; Metazoa.
CUGGUUGAUCCUGCCAGUAGUUAUAUGCUUGUCUCAAAGAUUAAGCCAUGCAUGUCUAAGUACAAGCGAAAAUAAAGUGAAACCGCAAAAGGCUCAUUAUAUCAGUUAUGGUUCCUUAGAUCGUAUAAAAAAUUACUUGGAUAACUGUGGUAAUUCUAGAGCUAAUACAUGCAUUUAAAGAGAAACCAUUUUAUUAUGGGAUCUCUGCUUUUAUUAGAUUUAAACCAAUGGGCAGCGUUUCGGCGCUGUUAAAAUUUAAACUGGUUGAACUCUGGAUAAUUUGCUGAUCGCACGGUCCAGUACCGGCGACGGAUCUUUCAAAUGUCUGCCCUAUCAACUAUUGAAGGUAAUGUCUUGGAUUACCUUGGUCGCAACGGGUAACGGGGAAUCAGGGUUCGGUUCCGGAGAGGGAGCCUGAGAAACGGCUACCACAUCUAAGGAAGGCAGCAGGCGCGUAAAUUACCCACUCCCAGCACGGGGAGGUAGUGACGAAAAAUAACAAUACAAGACUCACAUCCGAGGCCUUGUAAUUGGAAUGAGUACACUUUAAAUCCUUUAACAAGGAUCCAUUGGAGGGCAAGUCUGGU